Molecule: ribosomal RNA, 429 nt
Filed under: Chloroflexota bacterium
Lineage: Bacteria; Bacillati; Chloroflexota
Description: Chloroflexi bacterium partial 16S ribosomal RNA
Rfam family: Bacterial small subunit ribosomal RNA
Source: RNAcentral
UGGGGAAUAUUGCACAAUGGGCGCAAGCCUGAUGCAGCCAUGCCGCGUGUGUGAAGAAGGCCUUCGGGUUGUAAAGCACUUUCAGCGGGGCGGAAGGCGAUAAGGUUAAUAACCUCAUCGAUUGACGUUACCCGCAGAAGAAGCACCGGCUAACUCCGUGCCAGCAGCCGCGGUAAUACGGAGGGUGCAAGCGUUAAUCGGAAUUACUGGGCGUAAAGCGCACGCAGGCGGUCUGUCAAGUCGGAUGUGAAAUCCCCGGGCUCAACCUGGGAACUGCAUUCGAAACUGGCAGGCUAGAGUCUUGUAGAGGGGGGUAGAAUUCCAGGUGUAGCGGUGAAAUGCGUAGAGAUCUGGAGGAAUACCGGUGGCGAAGGCGGCCCCCUGGACAAAGACUGACGCUCAGGUGCGAAAGCGUGGGGAGCAAACAGG